This is an RNA transcript of Panicum virgatum (switchgrass), 5890 nucleotides long. RefSeq lists it as uncharacterized. The record is from RefSeq and is a predicted model, not a curated record. The transcript has 18 exons. NCBI's taxonomy places the organism in Eukaryota, Viridiplantae, Streptophyta, Magnoliopsida, Poales, Poaceae.
UUCGCCCGCUCUCCCGUGACGCCGCUGCCCUCGAGAUCGCGAGUCGGAGCUCCGUCCUCGGAGCGGCGGCGCCGAGAUCGCGCGUGGACCGGUCGGUCGAUCGCGCGUCCGAGCUCCGCCCUCGUCGCGGCGGCGACAAGAUCGCGGGUCGAACGCGCGUCGGAGCUCCGUCCUAGGGCGGCUUCACCGAGGUGGACGAUGCGCUGCUUCAGCCGCUCGAUGUGAUGCGCGUCCAGGGUGAACGUCUAGCGGAUGAACCGCAGCCGAUCUUCUUGAAGAAUCGAGGGCGUCGUCGCCUAUGUCCUUUUUCCGGUUAGAAAACUGAUCGAGUUCUUGAUACAUACAUACAUACAUACAUACAUACAUACAUACAUACAUACAUACAUACAUACAUACAUACAUACAUACAUACAUACAUACAUACAUACAUACAUACAUACAUACGUACGUACGUCGGAACGCGGAGCCCGCGGCUAGCAUCGCUUCGGGGACGUCGCGCCCUCGAUCUCGCAUCGAGCUUCGGCGCGUCGGACACCAUCUUCGCGGCGGACGCGGGGUCGAGCGUCGGCACGUCGGAACGCGGAACACGCGCCUAGCAUCGGUCCGGGAGGACCUCGGCCACUGAUCUUGACGUCUAUUGAAGACGGACGUCCACUACGGUGAUCACGCCGGCGACCACAGUCUACGUUGAUGGCGCGACGCGGCGGCGACGAGCAUCGUGUUCCUCUUGGGGAUAUAACCAACACACAGAAUAGAAGCACUGCUCCUAAGAAGAGGUCAAGAGAUUUGGAAGACGAUGUUGAUCUAGCAUCUGUUAGGCGGCAAAAAGCAAGGGAACGUUAUGCGAGUAUGCCGCGGGAGAAGAAAGCAGCACUUAAUGCAAAGAAAAGAGAAAACUAUCAUCGACGACAAGCAGAGAAACGAAUAGCAAUGACAGAUACACCCCAGACAGGAGUGCCCCAGUCAGGAGUGUUAUGUGUUCAUGAAGAUCCAUGUUUGAUGGGGACACCUCAGUCGGCAGCGUUCCACAUUGAUGGGAGUGCAGGCAUGUCAUGCACCCCAUCUUCGGCACUGUUGCAUGUGGAUGGAACUACAGUUUCAUGUAUCACUAUGGGUGUUACUGCAAGUGAGCAAGAUCACGUGCUCAGGAGUCAAAAUACAGCAGCAUUGAUAGAUACACCCCAGUCAGCAGUGGUACAAUUUGAUGGAAUCCCAUGUUUUAUGGAAACACCUCAUACGACAGGUUUGUCGGGUAACCCACCUUUGUCACUGUUGCAUGUGGGCGGAACUGCAGUUUCCGAUAAAACUACUGAAGUUGGUUCAAAUGCCACCAUGCAGAUGCCCAUUAAUCGACAUGGACCUGGUUUGUCGAACGUCCUACAAAAUUCGCCUAUUGCAGAUGAUUUUUCAGAUUGGCUUGCUCGCAACAAUUCAUAUUUUAUAACAGCUCGCGGCAGUAACAUGCCUGCUAUGCUACAAGGGAACGCCGAGAACACAGCUGUUGGCGCCAUGGUCUCACCUCUAGAGGCAACAAAACAAAAGAAAAGGGACAGGGAGCGAAUGAAGUUUGCAACAAUGUCAAAUGAGAAAAGAAUAGAAAGGAACAUCAAACAGAGGGAAAGAUACAAUAGUAAUAAAAAAGAUGAAAACGUUGGGAAACCAAACUAUGACUCUGGUAUUUGGGAACCCGAUCACAAGAAGAGGAGGAUCUGGAUUGCAAAGAGCUGGAUGAUUGUGAAUUUGAUCUUGAUGUUCUCACGGAUGACAAAGCAAGAGUCUACUAUACUAAUGAUGGUCAGUUCAGGACAAUCAGGGAACCAGAAGCGGUUAUUUUGGACAGUGAUCCUUACGAAAGAGUAUACAAUGAUCUACCUGAUAAACAUCUUGUGUUGAGGAAAGUGCCGAUAUGCGAGUAUUGUGGUGCUAUAAGGUUUCCAAGUGAGGGUCCUGGUUUUUGUUGCAGGCAAGGGAAAGUUAAUAUAGUGAAUACACCAGUUCCUGACGAUCUGCAGCGCCUUUUUACAAGCCAGACAGAUAGGGAUGCCUUGUAUUUCAGAAAAAAUAUUCGGUAUUUUAACUCUCAUUUCUCUUUCACGAGCUUUGGAGCGGGUGUGGAUCAUCGGGUCGCUACUGCAGCUGGUACUGGUAUCUUACUUUUAAAGUGCAUGGUCAGAUUUAUCACAGAUUGGACCAGUUGAGACCGGGAAAAAACGGUCCGCAUCAUAUGUAGUUGUACUUCUAUGACACAGAUGAGACCCUAUCACAUAGAAGCAAAAGAUCACCCCAUCUUGAUUCAAGACUGAUUCGUACGAUUCUUCGAAUCCUCGAUAACAACCCAUAUGUUCGUGUCUUCAGGAGUGUUGGACAAAUGGAAAAUUUGGACGAAUUGAGAAUUGAAUUGAACACCAGUAUUUCGGUUGAUCAACGAAGAUAUAACGCACCUGCUAUGGAUCAAGUUGCGGUUAUCUGGCAGGAUGGCUCUAAUGAAAGAACUAAAUUUAAACGGAGUAUUAUAGUUUAUCCAAAUUCUGGUCAUCCAAAAUUUAUACGGGCGUACCAUGGUUGUUACGAUCCGUUAGCUUACCCUAUCUUGUAUCCCGGUGGUGAGACUGGCUGGGAAGACAAGAGUAUAUUGCUGGAGAAAAAACCGACAAUACGCUUUCCCCGAACUAGAAGAAAGUAUACAAAGCGCAAAACUGAUGAUAGUCAUAUUGCUCCUUCUAAAAGGGCAAGAAAAUCAGAUGUCAAGCAGAAUCAAGUACAACCAAUCAGUCAGAUGACACAUUCAGCUCCUUAUAUUUGUGAGGAUGAGGAGGAAGACGACAUCUGUGACAACAACAUGGCUGAGGAUGGUGAUGGAGAUGGUGGGGGUUCGCGUCUGCAUGUUAGUGCGAGGGAGUAUUACUACUAUAUUAUGCAGAUCCGCAAUGAUGUUUUUAAUAUAUUCCUUCAUGGUGGAAGGCUUUUUCAGCAAUGGAUAGUGGAUAUGUAUGUGAAAAUUGAGAGUAUGCGACUAGUUUGGUACUCCCAUCCAGACCACCAGAAAAUUAGUAGGGGAGACCUCUAUCAGGUAUAAUGGACACCCUUCUUGCCGGUGAGAAUAGGGGUUUGAAGGCUGGUAAAUUGGUUGUUUUAUCUAAAAAUUUCCCCGGAAGUGAUAGAGAUGUGCAGUGCAGGUUCAUGGAUGCAAUGUCAUUGGUUGCUAAAUAUAGAAGGCCAGAUUAUUUUUUAACCAUGACUUGCAACCCCUACUGGCCAGAGAUCAUAGAACUUUUGCUGCCUGGUCAGAAACCUCAAGAUAGACCUGAUAUUGUGACUAGGGUUUACCAUGCCAAACUCAUUGAUUUUCAUGAUUUUGUGAUUAAAAAUGGUUUCUUUGGAAAGGUGGCAGCCUGGGCACAUGUUACUGAGUUUCAAAAAAGAGGUUUUCCGCACGAACAUUUCUUGCUUAUAAUGGAAAGUAGUUCAAAGCUUAGUGGGCCAGAUGAUUUUGAUAAAUAUAUUUCUGUAGAACUACCGGAUGAAAAGAAAUAUCCUCUUCUCCAUGAACUUGUAUGCAAACACAUGAUGCAUGGACCUUGUGGUGUUCUAAAUAAAAAGUGUGGUUGCAUGCAAGAUGGUGCAUGUCGUUUCAGGUACCCUAAACAAUUCAGUGAGACCACUUUACAGGGAAAGGAUGCAUAUCCUAUAUACAGAAGAAGAAAUGAUGGUCACAAGGUUUAUGUGCGGGAAAAAUGGUUGGAUAAUAGAUGGGUUGUACCAUAUAAUCCUACACUCCUGAUGAGAUAUAAUUGUCACAUCAAUGUUGAAGUUUCCAGCAGUAUUAAGAGUUGCAAGUAUCUAUAUAAGUAUGUAUACAAGGGUAUGGAUUGUGCAUCAUUUUCAGUUGCAAAUCAUGAUCAGAAUGGAGAGAUAAAGAUCAAUGAGAUUAAACAGUACAUGAAGGCACGGUGUAUUACGUCUAUUGAAGCAGUAUACCGACUCUAUAGGUUCCCGAUGUAUUCUAUAUAUCCUCAUGUUUUGCCGAUGCAAGUUCAUCUUCCAGGUAUGCACAUGGUUCCAUUUAAAGAUGACGACAACCUUGAAGAUGUACUGGAACGAGCUAGAAAUCAAAGAUCUAUGCUAACAGAAUUCUUUAAAAUGAAUAUUGAAGAUCCAACUGCACGGAGAUACUUAUAUAGGGAAUUUCUAGAACAUUAUACAUGGAACAAGACCAAAAAAAGUUGGACUCGUAGGAAAAGGCAGUUCCAGAUUGGAAGGUUGGUGUAUGUGUACCCAUCUGAGGGCGAAAGAUUCUAUCUUCGAGUUCUUCUGAAUCAUGUUCGAGGUCCAACAUCAUUCAUAUCAAUCAGAACAGUUCGUGGUGUUGUGAGCCCUACUUUUAGAGAAUGUUGUGAGAAACUUGGUCUUGUUGAAACAGAUACGUCACUCGACAAUGCACUUAGCGAAGCAGUAGCUUUUCAGAUGCCAUGUGCUCUCAGAAGAAUGUUUGCUACUAUUAUGGUUUAUUGCGAGUACACAAACAUUCGUGCCCUCUAGGACAAACACUUUGAAUCAAUGGCUGAGGACUAUGUGCGUGUUCAUGGAAAUUCUUCAAGUGUUGAACAAUUUGUCCUUAGGGACAUUGCGGAUAUUCUCUCCUCGAUGGGUAAAGACAUUAGAAAUUACGGACUGCCACAUAUGCAUCAGUCUGGUGACACAAAUAGGGAUUAUUAUAGAGAACUAACUGAGGAGAGGAAAAUUGUCGUAUCUGAUGAAGAUAUUAAAUUAGCAGAGUCUCUCAAUACUGAGCAAAUGGAAGGUUUUAAAGAAAUUUUUGAUCAUGUCAUCAGAAAUAAAGGGAAAGUAUUUUUUGUGGAUGGUCCUGGUGGGACCGGGAAUACAUAUCUUUACAGGGCUCUUUUAGCCAGAGUUCGAUCCACGGAUCGCAUUGCAGUAGCUACAGCUACAUCCGCAAUUGCAACAUCCAUCAUGCCUGAUGGUCGUACGGCUCAUUCGAGGUUCAAAAUUCCCAUAAAGCUUGAAGAUAAUUCUAUUUGCAACUUUACCAAGUAAAGUGGUACAGCUGCAUUGUUACGUGAGGCGUCUUUAAUUAUAUGGGAUGAGGUUGCGAUGACACGAAGGCAGGCUGUGGAGACACUUGACAGGUCGUUACGUGAUAUUACAGGAAAUGAUCUACCUUUUGGGGGCAAAGUUAUAGUGUUUGGAGGGGAUUUCAGACAAGUUUUGCCUGUUGUUCCUAGAGGUACUAGAGCACAAAUAUGUGAUGCCACCUUGCUUCGAUCCUAUAUAUGGGAUGAUAUCAAGAUAAUACAGUUGAAGCAGAACAUGAGGGCCCAGAAUGAUGUAUGUUUCUCGCAGUUUCUAUUAAGAAUUGGUGAUGGAACAGAAAAGACCUUCCCAAAUGACUAUGUGGAUAUGCCGAAUGACAUUAUGCUUGAGUAUAAUGAUGAUCAGUCUAUUGAUACUCUCAUCGAUCGUGUGCUUCCGAAUCUAGCUAAGAACUGCACUUUCGUCAGUUACAUGCGGCAGCGUGCUAUCUUGUCAACAAGGAAUGAGUAUGUUGAUAGCAUCAACGUGAUGAUGAUUGGGAAGUUUCCUGGAGAAGAAAAGGUUUACUACAGUCAUGAUUCCGUAGAUGAUGACUCAACUAAUAACUAUCCUCUUGAUUUUCUGAACUCAAUUACUCCAAAUGGUCUUCCUCCGCACGAGCUUAAAAUUAAGAAGAACUGUCCUGUCAUACUCCUUCGAAAUUUAGAUCCUCAUCAUGGACUGUGCAAUGGAACUCGACUUAUAGUGAAGGCUUUUGAGGACAAUGCAAUUGAUUGUGAAAUUGUAAAUGGACAUCAUGCUGGAAAUCUGAUUUUUAUACCAAGGAUACCAUUGUCUC